GUCAGAGCAGACCUUGGAAAUCGGUCCACCCCAUUUGCACCGGAAGGAUGUUGCCCUGUAUUUUUUAGAAGGCUGAAGACAAAUACUGCAGUUCACGAAGGCUGCCCACAGCAAACAGCACCGGGAAUACACUGAAGAGGGAAGGCAACACGACCAACCUGCUUCAGCAGCCGGGAUCCAGAAUGUUUAUACAGCACUUUAAAAAUGCUGGCAGUCUUUGGCUCCUCUCUAGGGAAUGGAGAGGGCCCAAGAAAGCAGCAUGAUGAAGCCUCAUCUCUGCAUGAAGGCGUGAUAAAACCCGCUUCCCAUCAUCCACCAAGAAGUAAACCCAAGACGGCAAAAAAAAAAAAAAAUUGCUUGGAUUUUGUCGAGACAAGUCAUUUCCCUAUCGCUGCCUGGGAUCCGGGCGUGCCGCGGUCUCCAUGUGGAUAUUUUUUUUGGGAGACCUUAAUCUAUCUUCUGUAUAUCAUCCCAUGCAAACCAAACACCGCUGCACCCAGAUACUGCAGAGCUGUCCAUCUUCCACGGAUCAAUAACUAUGAUGAUUCAUCAUAUUAGGUAGUACUAACUUUUUGGGAAAGGGGAGGGAAAAAAAAGAAAAACCCCAAGGCUCGCACGCUCACUGCUGCUGUCAUAGCCGGGAAAGCCAUUUCAAGUGUGCACAGGAAGGCGAAAGGGCAACAAGCCCCCUCGCCAAGGAGGCCACGAUUUAAAACUCCCCAGGAUUUAUUUUCUUAGUUAUCGAUUCCCUUCAUUUUAUCAAACAGUUCCCUGAGGGAAGUGAUCUCUAUGAAAGCAAGCAAGAAAAUGGAGGGUUCAGCAUUUCCAGCCUUGGCCUACAAGCAGCGGCCGUGGUUUCCAGGGUGCCGGUUACUCAGCAGUUCUGAACGGUGCCUGAUUUUUCGCGUUGUGGCCUGCCUACAGCAAGGGCUUUCCAAGCGGAGGGCGUUUCACGAGAGCUUCGCUGCACGCACGCCAGUAACCUGUAGCGUGGCUUCGCGACAGCAAGCAAGGGCAGGUGCCGGGGGAAGGGAACGCCUGACGCUGCGGUGCUUGUUGCGGGAAACGGGACGGACGCGCUGCCCCAUCGUUACCGCCGGACCGCGUGGGACUCACCCGGCAGCCCGGGGACAUGCCGCCUGGCGAGCUGGCAGCGCGUCUCCUUCGCCACCCCUCCGUGCCGCUAGCACGCGGGCAGCACCAGCGUUUGGGGCUGCCUCGCUCCAGAGAACAUCUCCCAAGCUAACAGAGAUUCUCCAGGGUGCAUCUGCGCUCUCAGACACCGUUAGCGUGCAAGCGAAUGCAGCCUUGAUGCCAACAUUUGAGACUGCGGGUGAAGAGAAAGGUGGUGAGGAAUGCUCUCACUAUUCCCCAAGUCGCGUUGCAGCCUCGCGGACACCAGAGAGCCUUCCAGUGCCUAGCCCAGGCUUGGGAAGGUGGUGGGCCUGCUGUGGAUGCGUCCCCGGUGCUGGACGUCCAGAGCGGAGCAGUCAGACAGAACAGAGAUCCUGGUGA
Molecule: long non-coding RNA, 1515 nt
Filed under: Crocodylus porosus (Australian saltwater crocodile)
Lineage: Eukaryota; Metazoa; Chordata; Crocodylia; Crocodylidae
Description: lncRNA (ENSCPRG00005012921.1)
Source: RNAcentral